RNAcentral lists this ribosomal RNA (403 nucleotides) under uncultured bacterium. RNAcentral describes it as "partial 16S ribosomal RNA". It matches the Rfam family "Bacterial small subunit ribosomal RNA", at positions 28 to 526 of the family's 1533-position model. The record is from RNAcentral.
GACGAACGCUGGCGGCGUGCCUAAUACAUGCAAGUCGAACGCAGUGGGGACGGGUGAGUAACACGUGGGUAACCUCCCAUCAGCAGGGAUAAAACUUGGAAACAGGUGCUAAACCGAUACUGAUGGAUGGACCCGCGGUGCAUUAGCUAGUUGGUGAGGUAACGGCUCACCAAGGCGACGAUGCAUAGACGACCUGAGAGGGUGAUCGGCGACACUGGCACAGAGACACGGCCCAGACGCCUACGGUGGGCAGCAGUAGGGAGUCUUCGGCCAUGAACGAAAGUCUGCCCGGUCAACGCAGCGCGAGUGAAGAAGGUUUUCGGAUCGUAAAACUCUGUUGUUAGAGAAGCGGUAUCUAACCAGAAAGCCACGGCUAACUACGUGCCAGCAGCCGCGGUAAUAC